AGCAGGGUAGAGCAGAGGUAGCUCACCGGGUUCAUACCCCGGAGGUCGCCGGUUCGAUUCCGGUCCCUGCAACCA
This 75-nucleotide transfer RNA is filed under the name Brucella anthropi. RNAcentral's name for it is "tRNA-Met". It matches the Rfam family "tRNA". From Rfam's summary of the family: Transfer RNA (tRNA) molecules are approximately 80 nucleotides in length. Their secondary structure includes four short double-helical elements and three loops (D, anti-codon, and T loops). Lineage: Bacteria; Pseudomonadati; Pseudomonadota; Alphaproteobacteria; Hyphomicrobiales; Brucellaceae. The record is from RNAcentral. RNAcentral also lists the same sequence under 1 other name.